This 67-nucleotide transfer RNA is filed under the name Homo sapiens (human). RNAcentral's name for it is "tRNA-pseudo Likely pseudogene". The record is from RNAcentral. Lineage: Eukaryota; Metazoa; Chordata; Mammalia; Primates; Hominidae.
GUGUAGCUCAGGAGUAGAGUAUUUGACUCAGAUCAAGAGGUCCCUGGCUCAAAUCCAGCUGUCCCCU